RNA transcript from Cyanidioschyzon merolae strain 10D, 2301 nucleotides. RefSeq lists it as hypothetical. Lineage: Eukaryota; Rhodophyta; Bangiophyceae; Cyanidiales; Cyanidiaceae. The transcript has a single exon. The record is from RefSeq and is a predicted model, not a curated record.
AGCUGCGGCUAGCGCUUACCGCCUUUUCAACCAGUGUUCGUAGCACUGAAACCGGAGAUGAACGCGACGAACAAGUAUAUACAGCGCAUGGUGUAGACGGAUAUGUGUGAUAUCGCUUUUGCGGCGAUAGGCAACCAGGCGAACGAAAGUCUUUUGUCCUUUUUCGAACGCGGGCGCUACUUCUGGUGACAGUCGCAUGCGAACACGCAGCGGGACACACGGCGCCUGCGGAACUCGUUAGAAAAGCGUUUCGGAAAACAGCGUGCAUGCAGCUCGAAACCAGUUCGAGAAGAGCGUCGUGAGGUAAGCGGAGGCCCUGAGAGCGGUGCUGGACCUGACACCCGGUAGCAAGGCGCGAUGCGUGGUAUGGGACUGCCACAGGAAGUUCGUUUGGGCCACGGGGGAGCACCUUCAAGCAGCAGUCGCAGCGCCGAAACAAGUCUGUGUUUCCCGGCCAGAGAGCCCUGUUCUAACGGGCAUAUCAUGUGUGGCGACCCGGAGGCGUGCUGCACGGCGGUAUCCGCUAGUCUCGUGAGCAAAGUCACCAGGCGAGAGGUGCAUCCGGGUUCGUCUGAAUAAGACAUACCAGAAUAACGCCGACUUGUAUCCGCUAGUAUCGUGAGCAAAGUCACCAGGCGAGAGGUGCAUCCGGGUUCGUCUGAAUAAGACAUACCAGAAUAACGCCGACUUGUAUCCGCUAGUAUCGUGAGCAAAGUCACCAGGCGAGAGGUGCAUCCGGGUUCGUCUGAAUAAGACAUACCAGAAUAACGCCGACUUGUAUCCGCUAGUAUCGUGAGCAAAGUCACCAGGCGAGAGGUGCAUCCGGGUUCGUCUGAAUAAGACAUACCAGAAUAACGCCGACUUGUAUCCGCUAGUAUCGUGAGCAAAGUCACCAGGCGAGAGGUGCAUCCGGGUUCGUCUGAAUAAGACAUGCCAGAAUAACGCCGACUUGUAUCCGCUAGUAUCGUAAGCAAAGUCACCAGGCGAGAGGUGCAUCCGGGUUCGUCUGAAUAAGACAUACCAGAAUAACGCCGACUUGUAUCCGCUAGUAUCGUGAGCAAAGACACCAGGCGAGAGGUGCAUCCGGGUUCGUCUGAAUAAGACAUACCAGAAUAACGCCGACUUGUAUCCGCUAGUAUCGUAAGCAAAGUCACCAGGCGAGAGGUGCAUCCGGGUUCGUCUGAAUAAGACAUGCCAGAAUAACGCCGACUUGGAUGUACUCGAGGAUAUGCUGCCGACGUGCUGCGUGAUGCAACGCAAAACUGGACGGACUCUGAUAUGUCUUCGCUCUCGUUCGGGAUCCGGAGCAUUCGCCUGCGUUGAGAUGGCGCCCUGGUGCCGGGUACGCGCCAGCACUCGUGCAUCUGGGAACAUGUCGUUCGAUUCAUCGAACUGAUGCUGUACAGAAUGCGGUCUCCAGCGCCGCAAUGUCCCGACGCAUGAACGCUGGCGCACGGCAGCAUUCAGGUAUAACGCGACACAAGCAACGGUAAAACGCGAGUAUUGCCCAGGAGACGUUUUGUCGCAGAUCCACGCUGUCGAGGAUCUACUGUUUCCAGGUCGAUCAAAGGCUCCGGUUGUGCGCAUCAGAAACCAGAAUGAAAACGAGCGCUCUUUCCAAAACAUCGAUCGCGUAGAAUCGAUGAGCACGCUGAAUGAUUGUCAUGGACAAGUGCAAGCACCGUAUUAUGCUGCUUGACCCGAUGCCGGUAUGCAGGCACCGCAGAGCGAUCCUAUCCCCAGAUGAGCAUGCAGAGAGUUGGCGAAUGCUGCGUUGUUGCGAGCGCCUAUGCAAGCUCGGCAUCUGGCGGCUCACUCGAUCCCUCUAGAGCGUAUCUCUGACGGAUAGACCGUCCCAGCGUCAGUGAAAUGGACAAGGGCCUGGAGGGAUACAGCGGUCGUUUCCCGAACUGCCGACAGCAACUGCGGUUUCAGAGGGAUUCUUAGAGUCAGGAUCAUCGAUCGUGCACCGGAAAACAAAACGUAUCUCGCGGCGGUGUACGUCGCAGGGUCAGGAUCGAUUGGUGCGCCCGUCGCGGAACCGCAUUUGUUUCCUCGUUUACCCAUUUGUCAGAUGAAAAGGGAACUCGGAAGUGUUCGCUCUGCUCCUGCUGUUUGAUUUUCUUCCAAAUUUUUUACAUAGACAGCCUCCAUGUUCGUGGUGCAGCAAUAGGGGCGUGCAGAUCCAUAUGUUGUUUUAGGAUUUAUGAUCUUGUUCUCUGCGUGACCCGUUCAACGCUUCUUCUGCUGGAAUUCGUUAUGACAUCAGCAUGAAUAGGAUUCGCGGCGCUGUCGCACACA